GAUGAACGCUGACAGAAUGCUUAACACAUGCAAGUCGUUGGCGAAGCUGCGCUUUCGCAGUCUAGCCAAGGCGGACGGGUGAGUAACGCGUAAGGAACUUGCCCUGCCGACAGGGAUAACAGACGGAAACGACUGAUAACACCCGGUAUUGUCAGGCUGGCCCAUGCCGGCCUGAUGAAAGGAGACGCUGCAGGAGAGCCGUGCGUCCUAUUAGCUAGUUGGUGGGGUAACGGCCCACCAAGGCGAUGAAAGGUAGCAGGCGGGAGGGGAUGAACGGCCACAAGGGGAGGGAGAUACGGCGGUUAAGACUCCGGGAGGAAGCAGUAGUGAAUAAUGGACAAUGGGGGCAAAACUGAUGAAGCAAUUCUGUGUGGAGGAAGAAGGUUGUCGGAUGGUAAAAAGGUUUCAGUAGGGAAGAAGAAAGUGACGGUACCGGCAGAAGAAGCGACGGCUAAAUACGUG
Molecule: ribosomal RNA, 462 nt
Filed under: uncultured bacterium
Lineage: Bacteria
Description: partial 16S ribosomal RNA
Rfam family: Bacterial small subunit ribosomal RNA
Source: RNAcentral